This is an unclassified non-coding RNA of Otolemur garnettii (small-eared galago), 113 nucleotides long. It matches the Rfam family "Y RNA". Rfam says of the family: Y RNAs are components of the Ro ribonucleoprotein particle (Ro RNP), in association with Ro60 and La proteins. The Y RNAs and Ro60 and La proteins are well conserved, but the function of the Ro RNP is not known. The record is from Ensembl. Lineage: Eukaryota; Metazoa; Chordata; Mammalia; Primates; Galagidae.
GGCUGGUCUGAAGGUGGCGAGUUAUCGCACUUGACUGUUCACGGUCAGUUACAGAUUGAACUCCUUGGUCUACUCUUUCCCCCGUUCUCACUACUGCACUUGACUUGUCUUUA